Molecule: long non-coding RNA, 1881 nt
Organism: Anabas testudineus (climbing perch)
Lineage: Eukaryota; Metazoa; Chordata; Actinopteri; Anabantiformes; Anabantidae
Source: Ensembl
GGACAGAGAGGAGAGAGAUACAGACGACAGAGAGGAGAGAGACAGACGACAGAGAGGAGAGAUACAGAAGACAGAGAGGAGAGAGACAGACGACAGAGAGGAGAGAGACAGAGGACAGAGAGGAGAGAUACAGACGACAGAGAGGAGAGAUACAGACGACAGAGAGGAGAGAUACAGAAGACAGAGAGGAGAGAUACAGACGACAGAGAGGAGAGAUACAGAAGACAGAGAGGAGAGAGACAGACGACAGAGAGGAGAGAGACAGACGACAGAGAGGAGAGAGACAGAGGACAGAGAGGAGAGAGACAGACGACAGAGAGGAGAGAUACAGAAGACAGAGAGGAGAGAGACAGACGACAGAGAGGAGAGAGACAGACGACAGAGAGGAGAGAGACAGAGGACAGAGAGGAGAGAUACAGACGACAGAGAGGAGAGAUACAGACGACAGAGAGGAGAGAUACAGACGACAGAGAGGAGAGAUACAGACGACAGAGAGGAGAGAUACAGACGACAGAGAGGAGAGAUACAGACGACAGAGAGGAAAGAGAUACAGACGACAGAGAGGAGAGAUACAGACGACAGAGAGGAGAGAGAUACAGACGACAGAGAGGAGAGAGACAGACGACAGAGAGGAGAGAGAUACAGAGGACAGAGAGGAGAGAUACAGACGACAGAGAGGAGAGAUACAGACGACAGAGAGGAGAGAGAUACAGACGACAGAGAGGAGAGAGACAGACGACAGAGAGGAGAGAGAUACAGACGACAGAGAGGAGAGAGACAGACGACAGAGAGGAGAGAUACAGACGACAGAGAGGAGAGAUACAGACGACAGAGAGAAGAGAUACAGACGACAGAGAGGAGAGAUACAGACGACAGGGAGGAGAGAUACAGACGACAGAGAGGAAGAGAUACAGACGACAGAGAGGAGAGAUACAGACGACAGAGAGGAGAGAGAUACAGACGACAGAGAGGAGAGAGACAGACGACAGAGAGGAGAGAGAUACAGACGACAGAGAGGAGAGAUACAGACGACAGAGAGGAGAGAUACAGACGACAGAGAGGAGAGAUACAGACGACAGAGAGGAGAGAUACAGACGACAGAGAGGAAAGAGAUACAGACGACAGAGAGGAGAGAUACAGACGACAGAGAGGAGAGAGAUACAGACGACAGAGAGGAGAGAGACAGACGACAGAGAGGAGAGAGAUACAGACGACAGAGAGGAGAGAGACAGACGACAGAGAGGAGAGAUACAGACGACAGAGAGAAGAGAUACAGACGACAGAGAGGAGAGAUACAGACGACAGGGAGGAGAGAUACAGACGACAGAGAGGAGAGAGACAGACGACAGAGAGGAGAGAGACAGACGACAGAGAGGAGAGAGAUACAGAGGACAGAGAGGAGAGAUACAGACGACAGAGAGGAGAGAUACAGACGACAGAGAGGAGAGAGACAGACGACAGAGAGGAGAGAGAUACAGAGGACAGAGAGGAGAGAUACAGACGACAGAGAGGAGAGAUACAGAAGACAGAGAGGAGAGAGACAGACGACAGAGAGGAGAGAGACAGACGACAGAGAGGAGAGAUACAGAAGACAGAGAGGAGAGAGACAGACGACAGAGAGGAGAGAGAGACAGACGACAGAGAGGAGAGAUACAGACGACAGAGAGGAGAGAGACAGACGACAGAGAGGAAAGAUACAGACGACAGAGAGGAGAGAUACAGACGACAGAGAGGAGAGAGAUAGACGACAGAGAGGAGAGAGACAGACGACAGAGAGGAGAGAGACAGACGACAGAGAGGAGAGAGAUACAGACGACAGACAGGAGAGAGACAGACGACAGAGAGGAGAGAGACAGACGACAGAGAGGAGAAAAUGAAUAA